CCGUGGUAAUUCUAGAGCUAAUACAUGCUAAAAAUCCCGACUUCUGGAAGGGAUGUAUUUAUUAGAUAAAAAAUCAAUGCUUUUCGGAGCUCUUUGAUGAUUCAUAAUAACUUUUCGAAUCGCAUGGCCUUGUGCUGGCGAUGGUUCAUUCAAAUUUCUGCCCUAUCAACUUUCGAUGGUAGGAUAGUGGCCUACCAUGGUUUCAACGGGUAACGGGGAAUAAGGGUUCGAUUCCGGAGAGGGAGCCUGAGAAACGGCUACCACAUCCAAGGAAGGCAGCAGGCGCGCAAAUUACCCAAUCCCGACACGGGGAGGUAGUGACAAUAAAUAACGAUACAGGGCCCUUUCGGGUCUUGUAAUUGGAAUGAGUACAAUGUAAAUACCUUAACGAGGAACAAUUGGAGGGCAAGUCUGGUGCCAGCAGCCGCGGUAAUUCCAGCUCCAAUAGCGUAUAUUAAAGUUGUUGCAGUUAAAAAGCUCGUAGUUGAACCUUGGGCUUGGUUGGCCGGUCCGCUUUAUGGCGAGUACUGGACCCAACCGAGCCUUUCCUUCUGGCUAACCUUUCGCCCUUGUGGUGUUUGGAGAACCAGGACUUUUACUUUGAAAAAAUUAGAGUGUUCAAAGCAGGCCUUUGCUCGAAUAUAUUAGCAUGGAAUAAUAGAAUAGGACGUUAUGGUUCUAUUUUGUUGGUUUCUAGGACCAUCGUAAUGAUUAAUAGGGACGGUCGGGGGCAUCAGUAUUCAGUUGUCAGAGGUGAAAUUCUUGGAUUUACUGAAGACUAACUAC
RNAcentral lists this ribosomal RNA (786 nucleotides) under Debaryomycetaceae sp. RNAcentral describes it as "SSU rRNA". It matches the Rfam family "Eukaryotic small subunit ribosomal RNA", at positions 147 to 943 of the family's 1831-position model. The record is from RNAcentral. Lineage: Eukaryota; Fungi; Ascomycota; Pichiomycetes; Serinales; Debaryomycetaceae.